RNAcentral lists this ribosomal RNA (468 nucleotides) under uncultured bacterium. RNAcentral describes it as "partial 16S ribosomal RNA". It matches the Rfam family "Bacterial small subunit ribosomal RNA", at positions 28 to 507 of the family's 1533-position model. The record is from RNAcentral.
GACGAACGCUGGCGGCGUGCUUAACACAUGCAAGUCGAACGGAAAGGCACUGCUUUUGUGGGGUGCUCGAGUGGCGAACGGGUGAGUAACACGUGAGUAACCUGCCCUUGACUUUGGGAUAACUUCAGGAAACUGGGGCUACUACCGGAUAGGAGCUCCUGCUGCAUGGUGGGGGUUGGAAAGUUUCGGCGGUUGGGGAUGGACUCGCGGCUUAUCAGCUUGUUGGUGGGGUAGUGGCUUACCAAGGCUUUGACCGGUAGCCGGCCUGAGAGGGUGACCGGCCACAUUGGGACUGAGAUACGGCCCAGACGCCUACGGUAGGCAGCAGUGGGGAAUAUUGCACAAUGGGCGGAAGCCUGAGGCAGCAACGCCGCGUGCGGGAUGACGGCCUUCGGGUUGUAAACCGCUUUCGCCUGUGACGAAGCGGGAGUGACGGUAAUGGGUAAAGAAGCACCGGCUAACUACGUG